This 203-nucleotide long non-coding RNA is filed under the name Lathyrus oleraceus (garden pea). Its description in RNAcentral is "Pisum sativum (pea) long non-coding RNA (PSAT_LNC034998)". The record is from RNAcentral. Lineage: Eukaryota; Viridiplantae; Streptophyta; Magnoliopsida; Fabales; Fabaceae.
ACUUUUGACCUAUAUCAUUGAUCAAGUGAUUUUGCCAAACUCCAAAAAUGCAUAACUCUAUCAUUUCAAAUCCAAAUGACAUGAAAUUGGUUACCAUUUUGAAGGUCUUUGAGAGAGAUACAACUUUUAUGAAGACACUUUUUCUCAUUUAAAACUCCUAUAAAAAGUUAAGCAAGGUGGAAUAUUGAGACAUAUGGCUUGAC